AUGACAGUUAGCAUUGGACUUGUGGUUGAUGCUUUGAAUAAGGGUAAUAACAUUUCUGAUCAAUUGCAUGAUGUGGCUAAACAAAAAAUAGAAAUAUCCGAACGACAAGUUGCAGCCAUUGAAAGGCGUAAUGAAAUCUUACAGAAUAGCAUACCUCGAGUGUAUACAGGAGUUGAUGAGUUUAUUUUUGGUGUGCCCCCUGACAUCCGCCUACAAGUUCUUUUUCAAAUGAUGGAUGUUCCUUUUUAUCACUGA
Vicia faba (fava bean) is the source of this 255-nucleotide non-coding RNA. The record is from the annotation of a GenBank genome assembly. Lineage: Eukaryota; Viridiplantae; Streptophyta; Magnoliopsida; Fabales; Fabaceae.